Molecule: non-coding RNA, 75 nt
Organism: Ictidomys tridecemlineatus (thirteen-lined ground squirrel)
Lineage: Eukaryota; Metazoa; Chordata; Mammalia; Rodentia; Sciuridae
Source: Rfam
GGGGUUGUGGCUCAGAGGUAGAGCGCUCGCCACCUAGCACGUGAGAGGCCCUGGGUUCGACCCUCAGCAACACAC